Molecule: long non-coding RNA, 221 nt
Organism: Osmia bicornis bicornis
Lineage: Eukaryota; Metazoa; Arthropoda; Insecta; Hymenoptera; Megachilidae
Exons: 3
Source: RefSeq, a predicted model, not a curated record
CUUCCUCUUGAGCUUCUGCUGGAAGAAUAUCUACAGAUUGCUGAGAAAACAAACUGAUUAUAAUGCGUAAGCUUACAGUGAUUAUUUAAUAGUUGCCAACGGCAUUAUAUUCGAUGUGGUAUUAGUAAAAUUAAGCGUAGCGCAGAUCACCCUCGAAUUGUGAAGUAUUAGAGAAGUUUGCGGUAAAUUGAUAGAUGCAUGUAUGGCAUACACUCUACAAA